UUAAUGGCCGCGGUAUUCUGACCGUGCAAAGGUAGCAUAAUCAUUAGCCUAUUAAUUGUAGGCUGGAAUGAAUGGUUGGACGAAAUAUUGACUGUCUCAUUUUAUUUUUUAAAAUUUAAAUUUUGAGUUAAAAUGCUUAAAUUUUUUUAAUGGACGAGAAGACCCUAUAGAUCUUUAUUUUUAUUUUAUUAAUUUAUUUAGAUUAUUUCUUUUUUAUUUAUUUUAAUUAUUUUGUUGGGGUGACAUGGGGAUAUUAUUAACUCUUUAUUUUUUAAUUCAUUUAUUUAUGUAUAUAUGACCUUUUAUUAUUGUUAUAAGAUUUAGAUACCUUAGGGAUAACAGCGUAAUUUUCUCUGAGAGUUCAUAUUGACGAGGGAGAUUGCGACCUCGAUGUUGGAUUAAGAUUAUUAUCAGGUGUAGGGGCUUGAUUAAUAGGUCUGUUCGACCUUUAAAUUCUUACAUGAUCUGAGUU
RNAcentral lists this ribosomal RNA (472 nucleotides) under Theramenes exiguus. RNAcentral's name for it is "partial 16S ribosomal RNA". It matches the Rfam family "Bacterial large subunit ribosomal RNA", at positions 1924 to 2611 of the family's 2925-position model. Lineage: Eukaryota; Metazoa; Arthropoda; Insecta; Phasmatodea; Heteropterygidae. The record is from RNAcentral.